RNAcentral lists this ribosomal RNA (381 nucleotides) under uncultured eukaryote. RNAcentral's name for it is "SSU rRNA". It matches the Rfam family "Eukaryotic small subunit ribosomal RNA", at positions 587 to 972 of the family's 1831-position model. The record is from RNAcentral.
AGCUCCAAUAGCGUAUAUUAAAGUUGUUGCGGUUAAAAAGCUCGUAGUUGGAUUUCUGUCGAGGGCGGGCGGUCCGCACUAUGUGCGUGUAUCUUGUUCGGUCUUGGCAUCCUCUUGGGGAAUGCUUCUGUGCUUGAUUGCAUGGGGUGGAAUUCAAGACUUUUACUUUGAGGAAAUUAGAGUGUUCACGGCAAGCUACCGCUUUGAAUACAUUAGCAUGGAAUAAUAAUAUAGGGCGUAAGUUCUAUUUUGUUGGUUUCUAGGACAUACGCAAUGAUUAAUAGGGACAAUUGGGGGCAUUCGUAUUAACGCGUCAGAGGUGGAAUUCUUAGAUUGCGUUACGACGAACUACUGCGAAAGCAUUUGCCAAAGAUGUUUUCA